RNAcentral lists this unclassified non-coding RNA (246 nucleotides) under Glomeromycetes sp. RNAcentral describes it as "partial contains 5.8S ribosomal RNA and internal transcribed spacer 2". The stretch from base 1 to 71 matches the Rfam family "5.8S ribosomal RNA", at positions 84 to 154 of the family's 154-position model. The record is from RNAcentral. Lineage: Eukaryota; Fungi; Glomeromycota; Glomeromycetes.
GUGAAUCAUCAAAUUUUUGAACGCAAAUUGCACUCUCUGGUAUUCCGGGGAGUAUGCCUGUUUGAGGGUCAUUUUAAAUAAAAAUCGGUUUGGUUGCUUCCUUUCGUGGUGACGCACCGGAUUUGUGUCGUCUUGCCCUCGGUUAAGUAACCUAAAAUAUUGCAUUAUUUUUUUCGAACGUAUUUAAGUGCUUUUACGUACCUUUGCUAUAACUCAUACUAGGUUUGUUAACCCUCAUUAGUCGCG